UUGAACGCUGGCGGAAUGCUUUACACAUGCAAGUCGAGCGGCAGCGCGGGGGCAACCCUGGCGGCGAGCGGCGAACGGGUGAGUAACAUAUCGGAACGUACCCAGACGUGGGGGAUAACACAUCGAAAGAUGUGCUAAUACCGCAUACGACCUGAGGGUGAAAGGGGGGGAUCGCAAGACCUCUCGCGUUUGGAGCGGCCGAUAUCGGAUUAGCUAGUUGGUGAGGUAAAGGCUCACCAAGGCGACGAUCCGUAGCUGGUCUGAGAGGACGACCAGCCACACUGGAACUGAGACACGGUCCAGACUCCUACGGGAGGCAGCAGGGGGGAAUUUUGGACAAUGGGCGAAAGCCUGAUCCAGCAAUGCCGCGUGCAGGAAGAAGGCCUUCGGGUUGUAAACUGCUUUUGUACGGAGCGAAAAGGCUCUCUCUAAUACAGGGGGCUCAUGACGGUACCGUAAGAAUAAGCACCGGCUAACUACGU
This 482-nucleotide ribosomal RNA is filed under the name uncultured bacterium. RNAcentral's name for it is "bacterial SSU rRNA". It matches the Rfam family "Bacterial small subunit ribosomal RNA", at positions 29 to 506 of the family's 1533-position model. The record is from RNAcentral.